RNAcentral lists this ribosomal RNA (238 nucleotides) under uncultured bacterium. Its description in RNAcentral is "partial 16S ribosomal RNA". It matches the Rfam family "Bacterial small subunit ribosomal RNA", at positions 118 to 347 of the family's 1533-position model. The record is from RNAcentral.
UGAGGAACAUGACCUUCGGCGGGGGAGUAGCCGGCCCCAACGGCCGGGUAAUACCGCGUACGACCACAUGGGGACAUCCCUGAGUGGUGAAAGCAGCAAUGCGCCGAUGGAGUGCCUCGCGGCCUAUCAGCUAGUUGGUGAGGUAACGCUCACCAAGGCAACGACGGGUANCUGGUCUGAGAGGAUGGCCAGCCANAGUUGGGACUGAGACCACCGGCCCAGACCUCGUACCGGGGAG